CMACGGCWUCCUUMAAUGCAGUCGAACGGUAACGGGCCUUCGGGUGCCGACGAGUGGCGAACGGGUGAGUAAUGCAUCGGAACGUACCUUUCAGUGGGGGAUAACGUAGCGAAMGUUACGCUAAUACCGCAUAUUCUGUGAGCAGGAAAGCAGGGGAUCGCAAGACCUUGCGCUGAUUGAGCGGCCGAUGUCAGAUUAGCUAGUUGGUGAGGUAAAGGCUCACCAAGGCGACGAUCUGUAGCGGGUCUGAGAGGAUGAUCCGCCACACUGGAACUGAGACACGGUCCAGACUCCUACGGGAGGCAGCAGUGGGGAAUUUUGGACAAUGGGGGCAACCCUGAUCCAGCCAUGCCGCGUGAGUGAAGAAGGCCUUCGGGUUGUAAAGCUCUUUCGGCCGGGAAGAAAUCGCAUGGGUUAAUACCCUGUGGAAUGACGGUACCGGCAUAAGAAGCACGGCUAACUACGUGCCAGCAGCCGCGGUAAUACGUAGGGUGCGAGCGUUAAUCGGAAUUACUGGGCGUAAAGCGUGCGCAGGCGGUUUUGUAAGACAGGCGUGAAAUCCCCGGGCUCAACCUGGGAACUGCGCUUGUGACUGCAAGGCUAGAGUACGGCAGAGGGGGGUGGAAUUCCACGUGUAGCAGUGAAAUGCGUAGAGAUGUGGAGGAACACCAAUGGCGAAGGCAGCCCCUGGGUCGAUACUGACGCUCAUGCACGAAAGCGUGGGUAGCAACAGGAUUAGAUACCCUGGUAGUCCACGCCCUAAACGAUGUCAACUAGGUGUUGGGUGGGUAAAACCAUUUAGUACCGUAGCUAACGCGUGAAGUUGACCGCCUGGGGAGUACGGCCGCAAGGUUAAAACUCAAAGGAAUUGACGGGGACCCGCACAACGGUGGAUGAUGUGGAUUAAUUCGAUGCAACGCGAAAAACCUUACCUACCCUUGACAUGUCAGAAACUUGGCAGAGAUGCUUUGGUGCCCGAAAGGGAAUCUGAACACAGGUGCUGCAUGGCUGUCGUCAGCUCGUGUCGUGAGAUGUUGGGUUAAGUCCCGCAACGAGCGCAACCCUUGUCGUUAAUUGCCAUCAUUUAGUUGGGCACUUUAACGAGACUGCCGGUGACAAACCGGAGGAAGGUGGGGAUGACGUCAAGUCCUCAUGGCCCUUAUGGGUAGGGCUUCACACGUCAUACAAUGGUCGGUACAGAGGGUUGCCAAGCCGCGAGGUGGAGCCAAUCCCAGAAAGCCGAUCGUAGUCCGGAUUGCAGGCUGCAACUCGCCUGCAUGAAGUCGGAAUCGCUAGUAAUCGCGAUCAGCAGCGCUUUUACUA
RNAcentral lists this ribosomal RNA (1323 nucleotides) under uncultured bacterium. RNAcentral's name for it is "bacterial SSU rRNA". The record is from RNAcentral.